CUGCAGCUUAUUAAGCCGACCAGUUGUGCUUCAGUGUGUUUCUGGUGUGCAAUGGCUGCAGACAGUAACUCUUUGGUUGUGUAUGUCCUCAGCUGGGUGGUGCUGAGUGCUUUAAGGGACCACUGAGACAAAA
Molecule: small nucleolar RNA, 133 nt
Organism: Sander lucioperca (pikeperch)
Lineage: Eukaryota; Metazoa; Chordata; Actinopteri; Perciformes; Percidae
Gene: SNORA70
Rfam family: Small nucleolar RNA SNORA70
About the family: snoRNA U70 seems to be exclusive to mammals and is a member of the H/ACA class of snoRNA which contain H (ANANNA) and ACA box motifs.
Source: Ensembl